RNAcentral lists this ribosomal RNA (609 nucleotides) under uncultured fungus. Its description in RNAcentral is "eukaryotic LSU rRNA". It matches the Rfam family "Eukaryotic large subunit ribosomal RNA", at positions 23 to 673 of the family's 3401-position model. Lineage: Eukaryota; Fungi. The record is from RNAcentral.
ACCCGCUGAACUUAAGCAUAUCAAUAAGCGGAGGAAAAGAAACCAACAGGGAUUGCCUUAGUAACGGCGAGUGAAGCGGCAAAAGCUCAAAUUUGAAAUCGGCCCCCAGGUCGAGUUGUAAUUUGUAGAUUGUAUCUUGAGAGCGGAUUAAAGUCUGUUGGAACACAGCGCCUUAGAGGGUGACAGCCCCGUAAAAUCUAUUCUCAUUGUAAGAUACUUUCGAAGAGUCGAGUUGUUUGGGAAUGCAGCUCUAAGUGGGAGGUAAAUUCCUUCUAAAGCUAAAUAUUGACGAGAGACCGAUAGCGAACAAGUACUGUGAAGGAAAGAUGAAAAGCACUUUGAAAAGAGAGUGAAAAAGUACGUGAAAUUGUUAAAAGGGAAGGGUAUUGAAUCAGACUUGGUGCUGUUGUUCAGCUAUGUUUCGGCAUAGUGUACUCAGCAGUACUAGGCCAAGGUGGGGUGUUUGGGAGUGAAAAAGAAGUAGGAACGUAACUCUUCGGAGUGUUAUAGCCUACUUUCAUAGCUCCUCAGGCGCCUCAGGACUGCGCUUCGGCAAGGACCUUGGCAUAAUGAUUCUAUACCGCCCGUCUUGAAACACGGACCAAGGAG